UAUAAGUCACGAAUCAUGAUCUAUCUCUAUAGUCUCUAGAAUAUAUAUUUACCGUAGUAUAGUUAAAUUAAUAAUAGAAAUUAGGGGUGAAAGGCUUUUCAAAUUUGAAGAUAUCUUGAUAUUAAGGAAAUAUAUUUAGUAUAACUACCACUCUAAAAAUGGUAAGGUUUUUAGAUAGUAUAAUUUUUGGUAUAAAAUAAGGUGGCCUUUAUAGUAGAUACUAAAAUUCGGAACUAAACAUUAUUUACUUUAUAUUAUAUAUUUUUUACUUAAUCUUAUACAUUAAUUCAUAUUUUAUAUUAAUAAUGAUUAUAUUAGUAUUUACUUAAUUUUUAAUUAGGAACUCGGCAACAAUUAAUCUCGACUGUUUAUCAAAAACAUAGUUCUUUGAUAUUAUUAAGAAUUAAACCUGCUCAAUGAAAUUUAAAUAGCCGCAGUACCUUGACUGUGCAAAGGUAGCAUAAUCAAUUGGCUUAUAAUUGAAGUCUGGAAUGAAAGGGAAAUUGGGGUUAGACUGUCUUAUGAAUAAUACCUAGAAUUUACUAAAUAGGUGAAAAUUCCUAUACGUGGAAAAAAGACGAGAAGACCCUAGAAAUUUUAAUAAUAAAUCACUUUAUUUUUGUUGGGGCGACAGGGUAACAGAAAACUUACCCGACUAUAUAGGCAGUUUAUAAACUGUGCAAUCAAAUUACUCUAGGGAUAACAGCAUAAUAUUUUAAAGAUUGUGACCUCGAUGUUGGACUAGGGAGUAUAAUACUUAAAAGGUAUUAUAAUUGGCUCUGUUCGAGCUUUAAAUCCUACAUGAUCUGAGUUCAGACCGGCGUAGCAG
This 829-nucleotide ribosomal RNA is filed under the name Monacha pantanellii. RNAcentral's name for it is "partial 16S ribosomal RNA". The record is from RNAcentral. Lineage: Eukaryota; Metazoa; Mollusca; Gastropoda; Stylommatophora; Hygromiidae.